CUUUUUUAUUGUUAUUGUCUUUCAUGUAUUUUAAUCUUUGGACACAGUACGUCUAGCUGUGAAGUCAAUGUAAUAAACCUUUUAAAGGCCCAGCACACAGGUGUUUUCAGUUAAUGUGUCUGAUUGGAACUAUCAGGACUGUGUGUCUCUAGACUGAUCCUGAGUCUCUUGUUAGCUUUGUUGCACCUGUUAAGGAGGGACAAAUGACAGCUUUAUCAUUAAAUGGUAUUUCUACCAGAUUUGUGACCUAAUACAUUCCCAUCUAAGCUCCGGCCCACUUUAACCUGAGAGUCUAAUCAGCCAAGAUAAGUGAAAUCACCUUUGUUCAGAGGCUUUAAAGCAUGUUAAAAGCAAACACUGGCCCUGAGAUGAAUCUCUUUGGUGUGAUACUGUUAAAUCUUUGCAGAUGCAGCUAUGCUGUGCUAGCUCUGUGUUGAGCCAGCGGCCCCAAACCGUUCCUGUUUGGAGAGCCGCUGGGAGCCGUCGGCCAGGUCCACCAACACUUGGACAGUCUGGGCCAGCCGACUCAGCCCCUCGUCCUCCAUGAUGAGUUGGGGGGGACACAAGGAAUCCUGGGAAGGGCGGAGAAAGGAGAGUAGAUGCAGGCUCAACACACUCACCUCUCCAACAUGGCCAGCUGGAGUUAAUGAUGCUAACGCUGCCGUUUGGAGAGCACACAGGAGCGUUAGCAGGUUAAAGGACAUCAGGAUAUCUGCACGCCUCCUCACCAUGUCACCUCUUUCCAUAAUUUUGAACACAAGUCUGGUGUUAUUCUUUAUUUAUUGUCAACAACUCCCAUGAAAAGACUAAAACCAACAAACAAUCCGUCCCAGUGGCUCCAACACCCACGCCGAGGGCCGUUUGGGACUGUGGGGAAGUUGCUAAUCAGUAUAUGUAUGCUAUUAAAAUCACACAGACAAUAAUAAAGAGGGGUUUUUGAAAAGUUUCUCCCAAUUCUUUGCAAUCAGGGGAAACAGAAAUAAACACAAUAGAUGAGAUGCAUGGGAAGAUAUAUACUCACCUUGAAGAUUAUUAGGAACACCUGUUCAAUUUGUCGUUAAUGCAAUUAUCUAAUCAACCAAUCACUUGGAAGCUGCUUCAAUGCAUGUAGGGGUGUUGUCCAGGUCUAGACAACCUCCUGAACUCCAAACUACCACCGGGUGCCACUCAUCUCCACUAAAAAUAGAAAAAUGAGGCUACAAUUUGCACAAGCUCACCAAAAUUGGACCUUUCAAGACUCGAAAAAUGUUGCCUGGUCUGAUGAGUCUCGAUUUCUCUUGAGACAUUCAGAUGGUAGAGUCAGAAUUUGGCGUAAACAGAAUGAGAACAUGGAUCCGUCAUGCCUUGUUACCACUGGGCAGGCUGGUGGUGG
This 1372-nucleotide long non-coding RNA is filed under the name Sander lucioperca (pikeperch). RNAcentral's name for it is "lncRNA (ENSSLUG00000005361.1)". The record is from RNAcentral. Lineage: Eukaryota; Metazoa; Chordata; Actinopteri; Perciformes; Percidae.